Molecule: long non-coding RNA, 278 nt
Organism: Mya arenaria
Lineage: Eukaryota; Metazoa; Mollusca; Bivalvia; Myida; Myidae
Exons: 3
Source: RefSeq, a predicted model, not a curated record
AGACCAUGAUUAUCAGUCCAUAUGGAAAAUCAGGCAAUGUUCUGCAAGAGCCGUCGGGCAACACAUGUACACAGCUUUCAACUGGUGAUAAUGCAGUAAGGCAGAUGGCAACAACAACUGAGGCAUUGCUGCAGUUUCACAGACCUAUAUUGCCAGCCAUUUCAGAACAACCAAACAUCCCAAAUGUUAUUACAGAAACAUCCGACAAGCAAACGAAAGCAAGAAAGUCGCUGUUCUCCCCUGUCUCUGGACAAGCAACUGAUAAAAAAGGACCCAAA